GGUACAAGGUUGCAGAAACUUUUCAGAAUUAAACACAUUUUGGAAUAAGCAUCAACUAGCAACAGAUAAACAUUUCCAAUUCCAUUCCUCUUUGCCAUCUACUGAUUCUAAACCAUAAACCUUUCAAUAUAAUAGGAGAAUAACACUCAGAGUUGGGGUAGCUAGCCACCAUAAAACCUUAAGAGCCACGAGUACCAUAAGAACCUGAAGUCUCUCAUCCUCCCAGUGACUUUGAAAAAUUCACUCAAAUCCCCUCAAACACUUUCAUUCUCCAAACACUCACACACAAAAUUUUCAAACUCGGAAGGAGAAGAGUAAGAUUCACAAACAAGUUUUAAGAAAAGAACUAAACUGAAUCAUUUUUUUCGUCCUUACUCCGGUCAUCUUCUCCGGCGAGGUAGAACCCAAACUCCGUGUUUAGCCACGUUUCACAUGCCACUAUGUAGAGCUAACCACAGGGAAUCAAAUCCCUCUAGUUAGAGGCUUUAAUUCCCCCACACCGUCAUUUAAUUUUUGUUGAGAGACCUAGGGUUUUCAAACUUUCUCCCUUCAAUUUGAGUUGUAGAUAUUGUUUCUGUUGUUUCGAUUUGUAGAUUCAUACUCCUGGGAUGAAAGUGAUU
This 620-nucleotide long non-coding RNA is filed under the name Lathyrus oleraceus (garden pea). Its description in RNAcentral is "Pisum sativum (pea) long non-coding RNA (PSAT_LNC030867)". The record is from RNAcentral. Lineage: Eukaryota; Viridiplantae; Streptophyta; Magnoliopsida; Fabales; Fabaceae.